UUUUUUUUUUUUUACUACAUUUUGCUAUCAUCUAUGCUCUUGAGUUUUUUUAAAUAUUUAUUGUAUCUGUUUGGUGGAAACAUUAUCUCAUGGUGGGCUACUGUGCUUCUUUUUCUGAUUCUGUAAAUCAGUGACAUCGGAUUGAUAGCUUGAAAUCAGCCACAAGGAGAGUAAUUUACACACUGUAAACAGGCAAGUGCUACCAGCCCAGUGAGUGAAUGAAUGAAAGAUGUCAGGGACAUCUCUCAGCCACUCGUGAUUACAAAGUAGCUGCUGUGGCUCCAGCCAUCAUGCCCACAUUCCACAUGGGAGGAAGAGGUAAGAAGACUGGGGAAAGGGGCAGCACCAGACCUGACUGCCCCUUUCCUGAGGCAAUUGAAAACUUCCCCAGAAUUCCCCAACUGUCUAGGUCUCAUUGCUCAGAACCACGUCCUACGACCAUAUAUACCUGCAAGGGAGGCUGGGAAGGCAAGUGUUUGGAUUUCCCAGCCUUUAGUGGAAAGGAGGAGAACAAGGGAGAAGCACUUGGGGAUGUCUUCUGUGUCUUUCCACCAGUAGCAUCUGCCCCAUUUGAUUACUGAAUUUUUUUCUCCAGGGAAGAGGAUCUUUACCGUUAAGCAUUUAUUUUCUUCCUUUCUUCCUUCCUUCCCUCCUUCCUUUUACUUAAAAAAGACCCCAAAAAACAAAAACCCUAAAGUAGAGCGUUAAGCAUUUCUUCGUGAGCCUCAGGGUCGCUUUGGGAAGGCGAGAUGGGGUCAGUACUGAAGGGCCACCAGCUUGGGGAACAACCAGGACGAGCCAUUGCUGCAGAAAGACGAGGUUGCCUGUAAAUUACAAAUUCCAUGCAGCUUCGUACAUCAAGAACAGCCAGGGGCAGUGGUUUGCCUCCUUUGGGGAGAGAGCAAAGGAAGAAAAUGAUGAAUAUUAUGACAACAGCCCCAUCGCCCUCUUCAAGCUGGGCAGCAGUGACAGGCUUGCCUGCUGAAGGAUGUGGGCGUCCCUGGGAAAAGGUGCUUGCACACAUUUUUGAAACAUGCGUUUUGAGAUAAUGUUUCUUUGUGACACCCUCAUGUUGCCCAUCUCUACAGCUGUUAUCUCAGACGGCUGCUCAGCUGCUCACCGCGGGGCCGGGAGGUGUUCAACCACUUGGAAGGCCCGGGGCCAUCUCUUUGGGGCUGACAUCCCUAACUCAGAACAAAUUGGGAUUUCUUUCUCUCCCUCACCCCCCAGCCUCUGC
Molecule: long non-coding RNA, 1237 nt
Filed under: Sus scrofa (pig)
Lineage: Eukaryota; Metazoa; Chordata; Mammalia; Artiodactyla; Suidae
Description: lncRNA (ENSSSCG00005036529.1)
Source: RNAcentral